GACGUAGGGCGCGAGCGUUGUCCGGAUUUAUUGGGCGUAAAGAGCUCGUAGGCGGUUUGUCGCGUCGUCCGUGAAAACUCACAGCUUAACUGUGAGCUUGCGGUCGAUACGGGCAGGCUAGAGUUCGGUAGGGGAGACUGGAAUUCCUGGUGUAGCGGUGGAAUGCGCAGAUAUCAGGAGGAACACCGGUGGCGAAGGCGGGUCUCUGGGCCGUUACUGACGCUGAGGAGCGAAAGCGUGGGGAGCGAACAGG
This 253-nucleotide ribosomal RNA is filed under the name uncultured bacterium. RNAcentral describes it as "partial 16S ribosomal RNA". It matches the Rfam family "Bacterial small subunit ribosomal RNA", at positions 524 to 776 of the family's 1533-position model. The record is from RNAcentral.